CCUACGGGAGGCAGCAGUGGGGAAUAUUGCACAAUGGGGGGAACCCUGAUGCAGCGACGCCGCGUGAGUGAAGACGGAUCUCGGUAUUUAAAGCUUCAUCUGUAGGGAAGUAAAUGACGGUACGUGUCUAAAAAUCCCCGGCUAACUCCGUGCCAGCAGCCGCGGUAACACGGAGGGUGCAAGCGUUAUCCGGAUUUACUGGGGGUAAAGGGAGCGUAGUCGGCAGAGCAAGUCUGAAGUGAAAGCCCGCGGCCCAACUGCGGGACUGCUUUGGAUACUGCCCGGCUAGAGUGCUGGAGAGGUAAGCGGAAUUCCUAGUGUAGCGGUGAAAUGCGUAGAUAUUAGGAAGAACACCGGUUGCGAAGGCAGCUUACUGGACAGUAACUGACGUUGAGGCUCGAAAGCGUGGGGAGCAAACAGGAUUAGAUACCCCAGUAGUC
Molecule: ribosomal RNA, 440 nt
Filed under: uncultured bacterium
Lineage: Bacteria
Description: partial 16S ribosomal RNA
Rfam family: Bacterial small subunit ribosomal RNA
Source: RNAcentral